Molecule: unclassified non-coding RNA, 240 nt
Filed under: soil metagenome
Description: partial contains 5.8S ribosomal RNA, internal transcribed spacer 2, and large subunit ribosomal RNA
Source: RNAcentral
AACGGUCUAUACCUGCGGUACCUGCGGAGGGAUCAUCAAAGGAAAUCUUUUAUACAAGAAGUGUUGAGGGGGGGGGAGAGGUUGGUUGGUUGGAUGCCACCAGCAGCCCUCUUGCACUUCAACAAACAAACAAACGAUCGCAACUAGUAGAGCAGAAAGUAGAUAGAUAGAUGGAUGGAGGGGGGUGUUAGUAAAAGUGUUUGCCUGAUAAUCAGAUUGGAAUGGAUGAAUUGGAUGGAA